UGCAAGUCGAACGAACCUUCGGGUUAGUGGCGGACGGGUGAGUAACGCGUGAGAAUCUGCCCUCAGGAGGGGGAUAACGGCUGGAAACGGCCGCUAAUACCCCAUAUGCCGAGAGGUGAAAUGAAUUUCGCCUGAGGAUGAGCUCGCGUCUGAUUAGCUAGUUGGUGGGGUAAGAGCCUACCAAGGCUUCGAUCAGUAGCUGGUCUGAGAGGAUGAUCAGCCACACUGGGACUGAGACACGGCCCAGACUCCUACGGGAGGCAGCAGUGGGGAAUUUUCCGCAAUGGGCGAAAGCCUGACGGAGCAACGCCGCGUGAGGGAUGAAGGCCUCUGGGCUGUAAACCUCUUUUCUCAAGGAAGAAGAUCUGACGGUACUUGAGGAAUAAGCCACGGCUAAUUCCGUGCCAGCAGCCGCGGUAAUACGGGAGUGGCAAGCGUUAUCCGGAAUUAUUGGGCGUAAAGCGUCCGCAGGCGGCCUCGUAAGUCUGUCGUUAAAGCGUGGAGCUUAACUCCAUUUCAGCGAUGGAAACUGCGAGGCUAGAGUGUGGUAGGGGCAGAGGGAAUUCCCGGUGUAGCGGUGAAAUGCGUAGAUAUCGGGAAGAACACCAGUGGCGAAGGCGCUCUGCUGGGCCAUAACUGACGCUCAUGGACGAAAGCCAGGGGAGCGAAAGGGAUUAGAUACCCCUGUAGUCCUGGCCGUAAACGAUGAACACUAGGUGUCGGGGGAAUCGACCCCCUCGGUGUCGUAGCCAACGCGUUAAGUGUUCCGCCUGGGGAGUACGCACGCA
This 788-nucleotide ribosomal RNA is filed under the name uncultured cyanobacterium. Its description in RNAcentral is "bacterial SSU rRNA". It matches the Rfam family "Bacterial small subunit ribosomal RNA", at positions 56 to 890 of the family's 1533-position model. The record is from RNAcentral. Lineage: Bacteria; Bacillati; Cyanobacteriota.